CUGAAGCAUCAUCAAUGGAGGAGGCAUGUCUGGUGCAGGUUAAGCAAGCCAUGAUGAGCAAGCCUGUAAGCAGUACUCCUCCACUGCCUGUGCACCAGUUCCUGCCUUCAGCCUCCUCCUUUGACUUCUUAACCUGGCUUUUCUGGAUGAUGAAUUACAAACUAUAAGAGGAAAUAAACUCUUUCUUUCACAAA
Mastomys coucha (southern multimammate mouse) is the source of this 194-nucleotide long non-coding RNA. RefSeq lists it as uncharacterized. The transcript has 2 exons. NCBI's taxonomy places the organism in Eukaryota, Metazoa, Chordata, Mammalia, Rodentia, Muridae. The record is from RefSeq and is a predicted model, not a curated record.